GGGAAACCGAGAGUUGACACGAAAUAUAGGCCUUCUUUCCCACUCUUUUGCCUCUGACGACGUCUUUCGUCUUCUCUUCGGACUUCCUUUCUAUGAAUCCUCCGGAGGGACCAAAAACUCGUUUCUCGACUUUUGAGAAGAAGAAUAAGGAGACCCCGUUGAGAAAGAAGGAGUGCUCCCGGCCGUUUAUAAGCUUUCUUUCCUCUCGUCUAU
Non-coding RNA from Caenorhabditis elegans, 213 nucleotides. NCBI's taxonomy places the organism in Eukaryota, Metazoa, Nematoda, Chromadorea, Rhabditida, Rhabditidae. The record is from Ensembl.